AGUGUUCUAAAAAGCGGUCUAGGCGGUCGCCUAGACCCCGACUAGGCGCUAGGCUCUCAUGCGACGUCUAGAUAACCGCUUUGACCGCCUAAAAUUACAUAGAUCUUGUUUAAUGUAUUUUUUCAAUUUUAAUUAGAGUUUUAUUUAUAUAUAUAGUUAUAAAUAUUUAUAUAUUGUUUAAUAUAAAUAUAAAUAAAUGUUUUGUCUAGUUUUU
RNAcentral lists this long non-coding RNA (214 nucleotides) under Arabidopsis lyrata. Its description in RNAcentral is "long non-coding RNA (ALYR_LNC001381)". The record is from RNAcentral. Lineage: Eukaryota; Viridiplantae; Streptophyta; Magnoliopsida; Brassicales; Brassicaceae.